Molecule: ribosomal RNA, 721 nt
Filed under: uncultured bacterium
Lineage: Bacteria
Description: bacterial SSU rRNA
Rfam family: Bacterial small subunit ribosomal RNA
Source: RNAcentral
GCAGUCGAGCGGUAGAGAGGUGCUUGCACCUCUUGAGAGCGGCGGACGGGUGAGUAAAGCCUAGGAAUCUGCCUGGUAGUGGGGGAUAACGCUCGGAAACGGACGCUAAUACCGCAUACGUCCUACGGGAGAAAGCAGGGGACCUUCGGGCCUUGCGCUAUCAGAUGAGCCUAGGUCGGAUUAGCUAGUUGGUGAGGUAAUGGCUCACCAAGGCGACGAUCCGUAACUGGUCUGAGAGGAUGAUCAGUCACACUGGAACUGAGACACGGUCCAGACUCCUACGGGAGGCAGCAGUGGGGAAUAUUGGACAAUGGGCGAAAGCCUGAUCCAGCCAUGCCGCGUGUGUGAAGAAGGUCUUCGGAUUGUAAAGCACUUUAAGUUGGGAGGAAGGGCAUUAACCUAAUACGUUAGUGUUUUGACGUUACCGACAGAAUAAGCACCGGCUAACUCUGUGCCAGCAGCCGCGGUAAUACAGAGGGUGCAAGCGUUAAUCGGAAUUACUGGGCGUAAAGCGCGCGUAGGUGGUUCGUUAAGUUGGAUGUGAAAUCCCCGGGCUCAACCUGGGAACUGCAUUCAAAACUGUCGAGCUAGAGUAUGGUAGAGGGUGGUGGAAUUUCCUGUGUAGCGGUGAAAUGCGUAGAUAUAGGAAGGAACACCAGUGGCGAAGGCGACCACCUGGACUGAUACUGACACUGAGGUGCGAAAGCGUGGGGAGCAAACA